RNAcentral lists this ribosomal RNA (408 nucleotides) under uncultured bacterium. RNAcentral describes it as "partial 16S ribosomal RNA". It matches the Rfam family "Bacterial small subunit ribosomal RNA", at positions 28 to 526 of the family's 1533-position model. The record is from RNAcentral.
GACGAACGCUGGCGGCGUGCUUAACACAUGCAAGUCGAACGAAGUGGCGAACGGGUGAGUAACGCGUAAUCAACCUGCCCUUCAGAGGGGGACAACAGUUGGAAACGACUGCUAAUACCGCAUACUGAAGGAGGGGUUUGGGUCUGAUUCGUUAGUUGGGGGGGUAACGGCCCACCAAGGCGAUGAUCAGUAGCCGGGCGGAGAGGAGGAACGGCCACAUUGGGACUGGGACACGGCCCAGAGUCCUACGGGAGGCAGCAGUGGGGGAUAUUGCACAAUGGGCGAAAGCCGGAUGCAGCGACGCCGCGUGGGGGAUGAAGGCUUUCGGGUUGUAAACCUCUUUCGCUAUCGAACGGGUAGGUGGAGAAGAAGCGCCGGCUAACUACGUGCCAGCAGCCGCGGUAAUUC